The sequence is a ribosomal RNA, 402 nucleotides long. It matches the Rfam family "Bacterial small subunit ribosomal RNA", at positions 355 to 774 of the family's 1533-position model.
UGAGGGAUAUUGCACAAUGGGGGAAACCCUGAUGCAGCGACGCCGCGUGAGUGAAGACGGCCUUCGGGUUGUAAAGCUCUGUCAACGGGGACGAUAAUGACGGUACCCGUGGAGGAAGCCACGGCUAACUACGUGCCAGCAGCCGCGGUAAUACGUAGGUGGCAAGCGUUGUCCGGAAUUACUGGGUGUAAAGGGAGCGUAGGCGGGGUGCCAAGUUGGAUGUGAAAUACCGCAGCUUAACUGCGGGGCUGCAUCCAAAACUGGUACUCUUGAGUGAAGUAGAGGCAGGCGGAAUUCCUAGUGUAGCGGUGAAAUGCGUAGAUAUUAGGAGGAACACCAGUGGCGAAGGCGGCCUGCUGGGCUUCAACUGACGCUGAGGCUCGAAAGCGUGGGGAGCAAACA